GUCAGGGGUUCACCCCCUUCCCCUUGAACCCCCAAAAUUCUCCUCAAUUCUCCCAAACCUGUCCAAAAUUGCGUCCCCACACCGUCCUCACGCAGCCGCCAUUUUGAGACCAUUCCGAGCCUGUUCUGGAGCCAUUUUGGGGCAAUUUUGAGCCAUUUUGGGGCCGUUUUGAGCCAUUUUGGGGCCGUUUUGAGCCAUUUUGGGGCCGUUUUGAGCCGUUUUGGGGCCGUUUUGGGGCCGGGGGCCGGCGCCUGACGCGCCCCCCCCCUUUUGUCUCCCCCAGACAUGUCGAGCCGCGCCGUGUGCCGCCACUUCAUGCUCAAGGGCAGCUGCAGGUACGAGAACAACUGUGCCUUCUACCACCCCGGCGUCAACGGGCCCCCCCUGCCCUGAAACCCCCCAAAAACACCCCAAAAACACCCAAAACCACCCCAAAAUCCCCCCUCGGUUAUGGCUUCCGUGAGGCCUCGGAGGGGGACGAGGGGGCGGAGAAAGAACGGAGGAAAAAGGGGGAAAAUUCAAAUUAUUGGUGUUGGGGUGUGGUGGUGGUGGUGGAGGGGAUGGGGAGUGGAGAUUUGGGGUGAAAAUUGGAGAUUUGGGGUAGGAAUUGGGGUAAAACUGGAAAUUUGGGGUAGGAAUUGGACAUUUUUUGUAGAAAUUGGAGAUUUGGGGUGAAAAUUAUAAAUUUGAGGCAGGAAUUGGAAGUUUGGUGUAAAACUU
Molecule: long non-coding RNA, 720 nt
Filed under: Junco hyemalis (dark-eyed junco)
Lineage: Eukaryota; Metazoa; Chordata; Aves; Passeriformes; Passerellidae
Description: lncRNA (ENSJHYG00000008403.1)
Source: RNAcentral